This 80-nucleotide ribosomal RNA is filed under the name Bacteroidota bacterium. The record is from RNAcentral. Lineage: Bacteria; Pseudomonadati; Bacteroidota.
CCUGGUGCUUAUAGCGCGGGGGAUACACCUCUUCCAUUCCGAACAGAGUCGUUAAGUCCCGCAGCGCCGAUGGUACUGCC